AAGACUAUACUUUCAGGGAUUAUUUUUAUAGUGAAUUGCCAGAGAAGUGUUUCUCAAUUUGUAGGGUACUCAUGGAAACCGUGCUCAUGAGUUGUAGUGUUCUCUCCUGAGCAUAAGCCUGGCUUCUGGUGUUCUCUGGUGGCAACUGACACGUCUCUGUGACUGUUCUCCUUUUUCUUUGGGGAAAGUGAGAAGGCAAGAACAUGAU
Lemur catta (Ring-tailed lemur) is the source of this 208-nucleotide small nucleolar RNA. RefSeq annotates it as small nucleolar RNA U3. NCBI's taxonomy places the organism in Eukaryota, Metazoa, Chordata, Mammalia, Primates, Lemuridae. The record is from RefSeq and is a predicted model, not a curated record. The transcript has a single exon.